Molecule: long non-coding RNA, 539 nt
Filed under: Physcomitrium patens
Lineage: Eukaryota; Viridiplantae; Streptophyta; Bryopsida; Funariales; Funariaceae
Description: long non-coding RNA (PPAT_LNC003708)
Source: RNAcentral
CUGUAAGAUAUUGGUAAAAUAGACAAAUAGUCCAUAGAAUAGUCAAUUGAAGAGGACGGAUGGUUAACUUAGUUAUUAAAAGUUAUUAAUUAUAGGAUUAUAAUUAGAAUCUGGGAAUAAAGACUAAGUAUAUAGGAGUUGUAGAAGUUAGUCUGAGUACCAGAUUGUGAUAGUCAUGAACCAAGAUAAGCUUGGUCUUUCCUCUUUGUUUCUUUGUUUCUUUGUUGUUGAAAAAUAAUGUAUAGUUUCUGAAUAUUGAGAAGUGAGUCUGUGAUGUAAGUCAGAGAUUGAUUUAUGAGUUAUUAAUUAUAUAAUUGGAGCACUGAGUGAUUGAAUUAUAUAAAGAAUUAUUAGAAUAUUAUGAUUGUUGUUUAUUGAGAGUUGUGUGUGUUUCGACAGAGGAAGUCUGUGAUUACAAAAAUUAUGUGAAUUCAAAUUGGUUGGAGUGAAGUCUAUUAUUUUUGGUGUUACAUGAAAUUAUUAUAUUUUGAGCAGUCUUUUGAGAGUGCAUGGUUGCACACUAUUUUUAAUAGUUGAUG